CUUAUCAAGACUUGACAUAUACCGGAAAGCAUCAGAGAUGGUGCCCCCCUAGUGGUCGGUAUACAGGUGGUGCAUGGCUGUCGUCAGCUCGUGUCGUGAGAUGUUGGGUUAAGUCCCGCAACGAGCGCAACCCUUGUUCUGUGUUGCCAGCAUGCCCUUCGGGGUGAUGGGGACUCACAGGAGACUGCCGGGGUCAACUCGGAGGAAGGUGGGGACGACGUCAAGUCAUCAUGCCCCUUAUGUCUUGGGCUGCACACGUGCUACAAUGGCCGGUACAAUGAGCUGCGAUGCCGCGAGGCGGAGCGAAUCUCAAAAAGCCGGUCUCAGUUCGGAUUGGGGUCUGCAACUCGACCCCAUGAAGUCGGAGUUGCUAGUAAUCGCAGAUCAGCAUUGCUGCGGUGAAUACGUUCCCGGGCCUUGUACACACCGCCCGUCACGUCACGAAAGUCGGUAACACCCGAAGCCGGUGGCCCAACCCCUUGUGGGAGGGAGCUGUCGAAGGUGGAACGC
This 510-nucleotide ribosomal RNA is filed under the name Streptomyces globisporus. RNAcentral describes it as "bacterial SSU rRNA". It matches the Rfam family "Bacterial small subunit ribosomal RNA", at positions 970 to 1470 of the family's 1533-position model. Lineage: Bacteria; Bacillati; Actinomycetota; Actinomycetes; Kitasatosporales; Streptomycetaceae. The record is from RNAcentral.